Molecule: ribosomal RNA, 425 nt
Filed under: Limosilactobacillus fermentum
Lineage: Bacteria; Bacillati; Bacillota; Bacilli; Lactobacillales; Lactobacillaceae
Description: bacterial LSU rRNA
Rfam family: Bacterial large subunit ribosomal RNA
Source: RNAcentral
CACAUCGACGGGGAGGUUUGGCACCUCGAUGUCGGCUCAUCGCAUCCUGGGGCUGUAGUCGGUCCCAAGGGUUGGGCUGUUCGCCCAUUAAAGCGGUACGCGAGCUGGGUUCAGAACGUCGUGAGACAGUUCGGUCCCUAUCCGUCGCGGGCGUAGGAAAUUUGAGAGGACCUGUCCUUAGUACGAGAGGACCGGGAUGGACAUACCGCUGGUGUACCAGUUGUUCCGCCAGGAGCAUCGCUGGGUAGCUAUGUAUGGAUGAGAUAAAYGCUGAAAGCAUCUAAGUGUGAAACUCGCCUCAAGAUGAGAUUUCCCAUUCCUUUGGAAGUAAGACCCCACAGAGAUGAUGUGGUAGAUAGGAUGGAAGUGGAAGUGCGGUGACGCAUGGAGCGGACCAUUACUAAUCGGUCGAGGACUUAACCAAG